RNAcentral lists this long non-coding RNA (990 nucleotides) under Zostera marina. RNAcentral's name for it is "long non-coding RNA (ZMAR_LNC002988)". Lineage: Eukaryota; Viridiplantae; Streptophyta; Magnoliopsida; Alismatales; Zosteraceae. The record is from RNAcentral.
AUUUACAACUCAUCAAGAAUUCGAACGUCAAAGAUGAUGAGAAGGAGUUGCUUUCAAAGGAAUACGAAGAGAGAAUUUCAGAACUCAUCAAGAAUUUGAAGAUCAAAGAUGAUGAGAAAGAGCUACUUUCAAAGGAAUACGAAGAGAAAAUUUCAGAACUCAACAAGAAUUCAAAAAUCAAAGAUAAUGAGAAAGAGCUACUUUCAAAGGAAUACGAAGAGAAAAUUUCAGAACAAAUCAAGAAUAUGAAGAUCAAAGAUGAUGAGAAAGAGCUACUUUCAAAGGAAUACGAAGAGAAAAUUUCAGAACUCAACAAGAAUUUGAAAAUCAAAGAUGGUGAGAAAGAGCUACUUUCAAAGGAAUACGAAGAGAAAAUUUCAGAACUCAUCAAGAAUUCAAAAAUCAAAGAUAAUGAGAAAGAGCUACUUUCAAAGGAAUACAAAGAGAGAAUUUCAGAACUCAUCAAGAAUUUGAAGAUCAAAGAUGAUGAGAAAGAGCUACUUUCAAAGGAAUACGAAGAGAAAAUUUCAGAACAAAUCAAGAAUUCGAAGAUCAAAGAUGAUGAGAAAGAACUACUUUCAAAGGAAUACGAAGAGAAAAUUUCAGAACAAAUCAAGAAUAUGAAGAUCAAAGAUGAUGAGAAAGAGCUACUUUCAAAGGAAUACGAAGAGAAAAUUUCAGAACUCAUCAAGAAUCUGAAGAUCAAAGAUGAUGAGAAAGAGCUGCUUUCAAAGGAAUACGAAGAGAAAAUUUCAGAAGCCGUCAAAAAUGUGAAGACCAAAGAUGAUGAGGAAGAAGAGCUACUUUCAAGGGAAUAUGAAGAAAAAAUUUCAGAACUCAUCAAGAAUUUGAAGAUCAAAGACGAUGAGAAAGAGCUACUUUCAAAGGAAUACGAAGAGAAAAUUUCAGAACUUAUCAAGAAUUUGAAGAUGAAAGAUAAUGAGAAAGAGCUGCUUUCAAAGGAAUAUGAAACCCUGAAAUCGGAAAAGG